Molecule: non-coding RNA, 564 nt
Organism: Ceratotherium simum simum (southern white rhinoceros)
Lineage: Eukaryota; Metazoa; Chordata; Mammalia; Perissodactyla; Rhinocerotidae
Source: RefSeq, a predicted model, not a curated record
CACGGCCGGCUUUUAAGAUGGCGCCGCAGAAAGACAAGAAGCCUAAGAGGUCAACCUGGAAGUUUAGUUUGGACCUUACUCAUCCAGUAGAAGAUGGGAUUUUUGAUUCUGGAAAUUUUGGUACCUUCCCUAGUGAAUAUCUAGGGUUUUCUUCCCUAGUUUUGCAUUUUUUAUGUUUUAAAAUAGGAACAGUUUCUACGGGAGAAGGUUAAAGUCAAUGGAAAAACUGGAAAUCUUGGGAAUGUUGUUCGCAUUGAACGCUUCAAGAAUAAAAUCACAGUUGUUUCUGAGAAACAGUUCUCUAAAAGGUAUUUGAAAUAUCUUACCAAGAAAUACCUUAAGAAGAACAAUCUUCGUGAUUGGCUUCGUGUGGUUGCAUCUGACAAGGAGACUUAUGAACUUCGUUACUUCCAGAUUAGUCAAGAUGAAGAGGAAUCCGAGUCUGAGGACUAGAUGAAGCUGCUCCUUAAAGGGCUUUGCUUACUAAUAAAAUAAAUGAAGCAUACAAGAGAAAGAAACAUCUAGAAAUGGACAUUUAGUUUAUUGGUGAAUAAAAAACAUUGU